GAAGUUGGAGUCGCUAGUAAUCGCAGAUCAGCAACGCUGCGGUGAAUACGUUCCCGGGCCUUGUACACACCGCCCGUCACGUCAUGAAAGUCGGUAACACCCGAAGCCGGUGGCCUAACCCCUCGUGGGAGGGAGCCGUCGAAGGUGGGAUUGGCGAUUGGGACGAAGUCGUAACAAGGUAGCCGUACCGGAAGGUGCGGCUGGAUCACCUCCUUU
RNAcentral lists this ribosomal RNA (216 nucleotides) under Nocardia otitidiscaviarum. RNAcentral's name for it is "partial 16S ribosomal RNA". It matches the Rfam family "Bacterial small subunit ribosomal RNA", at positions 1322 to 1533 of the family's 1533-position model. The record is from RNAcentral. Lineage: Bacteria; Bacillati; Actinomycetota; Actinomycetes; Mycobacteriales; Nocardiaceae.